Molecule: unclassified non-coding RNA, 449 nt
Filed under: Hevea brasiliensis (rubber tree)
Lineage: Eukaryota; Viridiplantae; Streptophyta; Magnoliopsida; Malpighiales; Euphorbiaceae
Source: RNAcentral
UAAUUGACGGCAUUCAAAGGAAUUGACGCAUCAUACAUCCAUCGAACUAUAUCCUUACAUGCUUUCUUUUGCAAUUGCUUUUUACAUGCCUCAUUAAUAGUGGUUUGCUUCAGCUUUGAAUUUUUUUUAUCUUGCACCGCCUUUGCAACACUUUUGGCAAAAUAUAAAUCUAUUAGACCCUUUGUCCUUGCCUUCUUUUGAACCUUACUAUUUCCUUUUGAGCCUCUAAGAAUUGUCCCAACAUCAUCUUCAUCUUCGUCAUCUCCAAGAAUUUCAACAUCCUCAUAAUCAGGCAAUUUAUCUAAGGUCUUUGCUGAAGCCUUUUGCUGCAUAUACUCUUGUAGCUCUUCACGCACAUGUGUUGGACACUUCUUACACAUUGUAGCAUUUCGAAAUCCUCCAACUAAAUGCUGUUUAGCUCGAAAUAUCCCUCCUUUUGUAACUUUGCU